RNAcentral lists this long non-coding RNA (221 nucleotides) under Lathyrus oleraceus (garden pea). RNAcentral's name for it is "Pisum sativum (pea) long non-coding RNA (PSAT_LNC034727)". Lineage: Eukaryota; Viridiplantae; Streptophyta; Magnoliopsida; Fabales; Fabaceae. The record is from RNAcentral.
CUAGAUUCACAUAGUAACAACAUUCCUUCCUAGAUAAUCAUCCAUCAAAACCACACUACCCAAUUCACCAUAACACCUUCAUCACCCUAAUUAUACUUAACCUUAACACACCACCAAUGCAAAACAUCAACAAUAAAUUCACAAUAAAAAUUCCAUCCCAAAGCAUCAAUAAUCAUAAAUAUACACACAACAAUCACAAAAAAUCAACACAACAACAAAUC